RNAcentral lists this long non-coding RNA (379 nucleotides) under Setaria viridis. Its description in RNAcentral is "long non-coding RNA (SVIR_LNC004661)". The record is from RNAcentral. Lineage: Eukaryota; Viridiplantae; Streptophyta; Magnoliopsida; Poales; Poaceae.
GGAGGGAGAAAACGAAAAGGGGAAAAAGGGAAGGGAGAAAAAAAUGAAAGGAAAUAGUGAAUGGAAAAAUCGGUGAAAGUUGCGGAAUUGGUCGGGCACGUGUGACGGAUUUGACGGGCACGCGGCGAAAUUUGCGGGGAAUAGAAAAAGAUGACUGUCGACGGUUGGUGCCGGGACGGCGGGGUCGCCGGGAAAGAAAAGAUUUUUAGGGAGCUCAACGGUCGGAAAAUUUUGAAACAAAUGUUUAGAGAGUGAUUUGAGUUAGUAAAUUUUACGGACGUUACAAACCAACCCCACUUAAAUUGAAUCUCGUCCUCGAGAUUCGGCUGGAUCGUGAAAAUAUGGGGAAAUUCCUUCUUUAAUGCAUCCUCGCGUUCCC